This 317-nucleotide ribosomal RNA is filed under the name uncultured bacterium. RNAcentral's name for it is "bacterial SSU rRNA". It matches the Rfam family "Bacterial small subunit ribosomal RNA", at positions 28 to 334 of the family's 1533-position model. The record is from RNAcentral.
GACGAACGCUGGCGGCAUGCCUAACACAUGCAAGUCGAACGGAGAUUAUUUCGGUAAUCUUAGUGGCGAACGGGUGAGUAACGCGUAGGCAACCUGCCCUUUAGUUGGGGACAACAUCCCGAAAGGGGUGCUAAUACCGAAUGUGAUCGCUUUCUCGCAUGAGAGAGCGAUGAAAGAUGGCCUCUAUUUAUAAGCUAUCGCUAAAGGAUGGGCCUGCGUCUGAUUAGCUAGUUGGUGGGGUAACGGCCUACCAAGGCGAUGAUCAGUAGCCGGUCUGAGAGGAUGAACGGCCACAUUGGGACUGAGACACGGCCCAG